GGAAUGCUGAAAACAAUCAAAGUCACUGCAGUUCUAUAAACAUUAUGCUUCCCUUGCAGUGUGAGGCAAAAAUUAUUGCUGAAUACUGAAAUAACGUCACAAACGAAAACUCAAAAGCUGCCUGAAACCUGUGGAAGGUAUAAUCUCUCCACUGCUCCCUGACACUCCACUCAGGUUUCACAACAAAGGAUGCUUCAAGGCAAUGUUAUCAUAGGUCUGAAAUAUUUUUCCCAUUAAGUUUUUCAGACAUCUUCGGCGAAGUGGGAUAAGGGAGAAUCUUCCUGUCCGAAAUGCCCUCCUGACCCAAAGGCGAAAAAUCCAGACCCUCCGCGGACGAGGUUGCCCUCCUUGGACACAAACUCCGGACCCAGGAGUACCCAGCCUCCCCUGUCGGCCUCGAACCCCGGCCCCUCCAGGGCCCCCGGCGUCCGCAGGCUCCGGGCGCGUUCUCAUUCUCUCCUCCCUGCCUUGAGGCAGAACUCC
RNAcentral lists this long non-coding RNA (483 nucleotides) under Fukomys damarensis (Damara mole-rat). RNAcentral's name for it is "lncRNA (ENSFDAG00000027627.1)". Lineage: Eukaryota; Metazoa; Chordata; Mammalia; Rodentia; Bathyergidae. The record is from RNAcentral.